UUGAAUUUGUUUGCAUCUUCGUCAGCUUAUUCGUUUGCAGACUAGAAAAAUGGCGAACAGCCAUCAAAAUACUGAUUAAAAUUACACAUCUUUCACUGGACACACAAAUGGGUGCGCGCCGCAAAAUUCAGCCCUAAUGGUGAAUGUGUGCGAACGUUCACCGUGGGAAGAGGUAUGGGACGACAGCUGACAUGGCAUCUAGACGGUAAUCUGGUGGCUUUAGCAUUAAGUUGUAACCGCUUUAAGAUAUUUGACAUAGCUGAAGGCGAGCUAAUACAGUGCAUUCGUCGCCGGAGAAUGAUGUUGCAUUUCACCCAAGUGGAAAUUUCUUGGUGACUGGCGGCGAUGACGAUACAAUAAGAUUGCUUGAUUUAUUAGAAGGUCGACCAAUUUAUACACGUUGCUCGUUUGGAAAUCUAAUUUGCAUACAUUUGAUGCCAAUAGCUCUCGCAACAAGCAAGCCAGCUCUCAAAGAGUCCAAAUUGAUUUUAGUCAUGCAACAGCUCCACAUAACUCCGACAUAAGGUUCGUUCGCGUAGCUGUUAAUUGUUCAUGUUUAACCAAAACUUACAGGUUUUUGCGUUCGCGUACGCAAAAAACUUGCAAAGUAGGGGAAAUUGAGAGAGCAAAAUGACAUUUCAUUUUGAGGGGAAGCUGUUAGUUUCUGUUGGAAAAAUUUUUGCCAACAGCAAUUUGCCAACAGGGAAACAGCUGAUCAAAAACAGCUGGUUGGCAUUUACGCAAAUCACAAAAUUUAAUUUGAUGGUUUGGAAGAU
Rhagoletis pomonella (apple maggot) is the source of this 776-nucleotide long non-coding RNA. RefSeq lists it as uncharacterized. NCBI's taxonomy places the organism in Eukaryota, Metazoa, Arthropoda, Insecta, Diptera, Tephritidae. The record is from RefSeq and is a predicted model, not a curated record. The transcript is spliced from 3 exons.